RNAcentral lists this long non-coding RNA (199 nucleotides) under Vigna radiata. RNAcentral's name for it is "long non-coding RNA (VRAD_LNC015724)". Lineage: Eukaryota; Viridiplantae; Streptophyta; Magnoliopsida; Fabales; Fabaceae. The record is from RNAcentral.
CAAUUAAGCACAACUCUUUUUCUCACCAAACUCUCUCAUUCCCAACUUUUUCCCUUUUUCUUUUCAUUGAGCUCAUCUUCAUGCUUUUUCUUAUUUUUUCUUUUUCACAUGCAUUUUUCUUUUUCAACAAUUGAGCUCAAUGCUUCUUAAAAGCUUUCCAAUUUCCCCCAUGCAACCCCAAACUUGAACCUUUUCAUCA